AUUGAACGCUGGCGGCAUGCCUUACACAUGCAAGUCGAACGGUAACAGGUCUUCGGAUGCUGACGAGUGGCGAACGGGUGAGUAAUACAUCGGAACGUGCCUAGUAGUGGGGGAUAACUACUCGAAAGAGUGGCUAAUACCGCAUGAGAUCUACGGAUGAAAGCAGGGGAUCGCAAGCCCGUGUGCCACUAGGGCGGCCGAGGGCGGAUUAGGUAGUUGGUGGGAUAAAAGCUUACCAAGCCGACGAUCUGUAGCUGGUCUGAGAGGACGAUCAGCCACACUGGGACUGAGACACGGCCCAGACUCCUACGGGAGGCAGCAGUGGGGAAUUUUGGACAAUGGGCGCAAGCCUGAUCCAGCAAUGCCGCGUGCAGGAUGAAGGCCUUCGGGUUGUAAACUGCUUUUGUACGGAACGAAAAGCCCCGGGUUAAUACCCUGGGGUCAUGACGGUACCGUAAGAAUAAGCACCGGCUAACUACGUGCCAGCAGCCGCAGUAA
Molecule: ribosomal RNA, 498 nt
Filed under: uncultured bacterium
Lineage: Bacteria
Description: partial 16S ribosomal RNA
Rfam family: Bacterial small subunit ribosomal RNA
Source: RNAcentral